This 484-nucleotide ribosomal RNA is filed under the name Streptococcus sp. oral taxon 066. Its description in RNAcentral is "bacterial SSU rRNA". It matches the Rfam family "Bacterial small subunit ribosomal RNA", at positions 28 to 494 of the family's 1533-position model. The record is from RNAcentral. Lineage: Bacteria; Bacillati; Bacillota; Bacilli; Lactobacillales; Streptococcaceae.
GAUGAACGCUGGCGGCGUGCCUAAUACAUGCAAGUAGAACGCUGAAGCUUGGUGCUUGCACCGAGCGGAUGAGUUGCGAACGGGUGAGUAACGCGUAGGUAACCUGCCUGGUAGCGGGGGAUAACUAUUGGAAACGAUAGCUAAUACCGCAUAACAGUCGACAUUGCAUGAUGUUGAUUUGAAAGGGGCAAUUGCUCCACUACCAGAUGGACCUGCGUUGUAUUAGCUAGUUGGUAAGGUAACGGCUCACCAAGGCGACGAUACAUAGCCGACCUGAGAGGGUGAUCGGCCACACUGGGACUGAGACACGGCCCAGACUCCUACGGGAGGCAGCAGUAGGGAAUCUUCGGCAAUGGACGGAAGUCUGACCGAGCAACGCCGCGUGAGUGAAGAAGGUUUUCGGAUCGUAAAGCUCUGUUGUAAGAGAAGAACGAGUGUGAGAGUGGAAAGUUCACACUGUGACGGUAUCUUACCAGAAAGGGAC